Molecule: ribosomal RNA, 432 nt
Filed under: uncultured bacterium
Lineage: Bacteria
Description: partial 16S ribosomal RNA
Rfam family: Bacterial small subunit ribosomal RNA
Source: RNAcentral
AACGAACGCUGGCGGCAUGCCUAACACAUGCAAGUCGAACGAGACCUUCGGGUCUAGUGGCGCACGGGUGCUUAACGCGUUGGAACCUGCCCUUAGGUUCGGAAUAACUCCCCGAAAGGUGUGCUAAUACCUGAUAAUGUCUUCGGACCAAAGAUUUAUCGCCUUUGGAUGGGCCCGCGUUGGAUUAGCUAGUUGGUAGUGUAAAAGCCUACCAAGGAGACGAUCCAUAGCUGGUCUGAGAGGAUGAUCAGCCACACUGGGACUGAGACACGGCACAGACACGUACGGGAGGAAGAAGAGGGGAAAAAAGGAGAAAGGGCGAAAGAAAGAUAAAGCAAUGCCGGGAGAGUGAUGAAGGGGUUAGGGAUGUAAAGAUAUUUUAAACGGGAUGAUAAGGACAGAAACGGGAGAAAAAGAAACGGCAAAAAAGGU